Non-coding RNA from Phrynosoma platyrhinos (Desert horned lizard), 72 nucleotides. The record is from the annotation of a GenBank genome assembly. Lineage: Eukaryota; Metazoa; Chordata; Lepidosauria; Squamata; Phrynosomatidae.
GUCAGUGUGGUGUAGUGGUUAGGGUGCUGCACUAGGACUCUGAAAACCAGGGUUCAAAUCCCCAUUUGGACA